GGGAGAUUUUGGCUUGCACAUGCUCCAGUGAUUGGAUAUAGUUGGAAGAUCCAGCACAGCCAUCAACAGUUUGUCUCACAACAUGGUUAAAUGAAAGAACCCUAUGAUUGAUCAACACGAGGAAUAAAAGGUAAAUACAAUGAAAAAUGACAAACAAAAUCCAUAUCAGGAUAAUUAAGUGCAGCGAAAGUAGGGACAUUCAGUACAAACGUGGGACUACGGGUUGAGCUGUCAAUAGCGGGACUCUCCUGCUGAAAACAGGACAGUUGGGAGGUAUGUUUAAAUCUAUAUUUUUUUUCAAUUUGAAAACAAUGCAGCCUGGCCACUUAUGUACAUUCUCCUGUCUCUUUGUCUUAUUAUGUCUUAAAGCCUAUACAGGUAUGGGAUACAAUAUCUGGAAACCAGAUAACCAGAAAGCUCAGAAUUACAGGAAGCCAAUCUCCCUAAGACUCAAUUUUAAUCAAAUAAUUCACAUUUUAAAAAUGUACUUGAUCUCAACUCAAGAUAUAUAGCGAGCAUAUGGAAAAGUCCCUUAUCUGGAAACCCCCAGGUCUCAUGCAUUCUGGAUAACAGGUCUCAUACUAUAUUAUUGAAAGAGGAGUGGUGAGCUUGUUGAGAAGGCUAAUUUCUAAAGCAAUGCCAUUUUUCAAUGAUUUUCAAACAACGUUUUCUCUGACUGGUUGGUAUAAACAUAUAAUCAUUAUCAAUUAACUUUAUAUAAUGUAUAGGUAAAUAAUUAGUGUGUCCUUCAUUCCCAAACCAAACUGAACCUUACUUUGCUUCCAAAGCAAGAGCAAUUAUUCCUGCAGCAAGUGGAGCCGAUGCAGAUGUGCCAGAGUGUUGGUCUGUGCAUCGCAUACGAAUAUCUGUAGUCAGCUGCAAGUAAAAAGAUUAAUAGCAAAGCAAAGAGGACAGGUAGUAGAUGUGGAGGAUUGAAUGAAAAACAUUAUUUAUGAAUUAUUAAAAAAUAAAUCUUGUGGAGCCUGAGUAACGAGAUUGCAACAGAAAAGGGACUAGAAAAAGGAACUAGAAAAAGGAACUAAAUACCCAGGCACCCAGCAAAGCAAGUAUCCAUGUACUUAAGCAUACUGGCUUUUAAUCAGGAUAAAAGCCCACAGUGGAAAAACCUGUGCCACAGGAACUAUGUCACACUUCACACCUGCUGAUCAUACGUUCUAUUACAUAAAAAAAUUAUGCUUUGGCUCUAUGUCUGUAGUUCUAAAGUCUCACUAAAUGGAACAUACAGUCUUUUUAUCAGACAUAAAGAGAGCCAAUUUAGGGCUAUGAUCACUUUUUUUGCCACUUCAAAAUAUAACUUUGGCAUACUUAAGUACAAGUUACAGGUUCCUUAACAGUUGUAUGCACAUUUGAAAAUUACUAAUAUUACUACAAUUCUGGGGGGGAGAAAGUAAUCUUGCUGUGUUAUAUCACAUUAGUACAUUACUAUGUAAUUUAUUAAACAAACAAUAAUAACAACAUCACUAAUAAUAACAAUAAUUAUGAUGAUAAUAAUAAUAAUGACACAUACCAUUUAAACAAUUUUCUGUUGGUAUAUGCUUUCAAGACUUCACCACAUUUCCCCUAACUCUUCAGAUACUAAAGGGAGAAUAUAUGGCAUACAUCUGGUGCAGUAUGAAGCCCACCUCACCUCAUAAUAAGAGUCCCCCCGCCAACCCUGGCUCUACUAAACUUUACCUAUAAAUCAAUACACCUGACAAACUACACAAUGGUCUUUAUGCAUUGCCACAGGAUCACUUAAUACCAGGGCACAGAAAAGACUGGAACAGUCAGAUUUUCACAAGUUAAAGGACGAGUGAACAUUUUGAUGCAACAACUGCAUAUAUAUUUAUUUGGAGUUCUUGCGAUCUUUUAGAUUCUGGCUUCUCUUUGUGGUCAAAAUGCCCUGCUUAUCUCAUAACAUGGUUCUCCUUAAAGGAGAAGGAAAGGUUAAAACUAAGUAAGCCUUAUCAGAAAGGUCCACCGAAAUAUACCAGUAAACCCUCAAAGUAGUGCUGCUGUGAGUCCCCUGUCAAAAGA
Molecule: long non-coding RNA, 2037 nt
Organism: Xenopus laevis (African clawed frog)
Lineage: Eukaryota; Metazoa; Chordata; Amphibia; Anura; Pipidae
Exons: 3
Source: RefSeq, a predicted model, not a curated record